Molecule: ribosomal RNA, 1058 nt
Filed under: Mariannaea sp. OGPBioA12
Lineage: Eukaryota; Fungi; Ascomycota; Sordariomycetes; Hypocreales; Nectriaceae
Description: eukaryotic LSU rRNA
Rfam family: Eukaryotic large subunit ribosomal RNA (bases 480-1058)
Source: RNAcentral
UUACCGAGUUUACNACUCCCAAACCCAUGUGAACAUACCUGUCUUGUUGCUUCGGCGGCGCCCACGGCCCUCACGGGCUUGGGGCCCGCCAGAGGACCCAAACAAAACUCUUUGCAUUUUGAAUACAGUAUUCUGAGUGACAUGAUUAAAUAAAAUCAAAACUUUCAACAACGGAUCUCUUGGCUCUGGCAUCGAUGAAGAACGCAGCGAAAUGCGAUAAGUAAUGUGAAUUGCAGAAUCCAGUGAAUCAUCGAAUCUUUGAACGCACAUUGCGCCCGCCAGUAUUCUGGCGGGCAUGCCUGUUCGAGCGUCAUUUCAACCCUCAAGCUCUGCUUGGCGUUGGGGAUCGGCAGCCCGGCUUCGCGCCGCGCCGUCCCCCAAAUACAGUGGCGGUCUCGCUGCAGCUUCCUUUGCGUAGUAGCACACCUCGCACCGGAGAGCAGCGCGGCCACGCCGUAAAACCCCCGACUUCUUGUUUUUGACCUCGAAUCAGGUAGGACUACCCGCUGAACUUAAGCAUAUCAAUAAGCGGAGGAAAAGAAACCAACAGGGAUUGCCCUAGUAACGGCGAGUGAAGCGGCAACAGCUCAAAUUUGAAAUCUGGCCUUCGGGUCCGAGUUGUAAUUUGCAGAGGAUGCUUUUGGUGAGGUGCCUUCCGAGUUCCCUGGAACGGGACGCCAUAGAGGGUGAGAGCCCCGUCUGGUCGGACACCAAUCCUUUGUAAAGCUCCUUCGACGAGUCGAGUAGUUUGGGAAUGCUGCUCUAAAUGGGAGGUAUAUGUCUUCUAAAGCUAAAUACCGGCCAGAGACCGAUAGCGCACAAGUAGAGUGAUCGAAAGAUGAAAAGCACUUUGAAAAGAGAGUUAAACAGUACGUGAAAUUGUUGAAAGGGAAGCGCUCAUGACCAGACUUGGGCUUGGUUGAUCAACUUGGGUUCUCCCGGGUGCACUCUUCCUCGUCCAGGCCAGCAUCAGUUCGCUGCGGGGGAUAAAGGUUUCGGGAAUGUGGCUCCCUCGGGAGUGUUAUAGCCCGUUGCGUAAUACCCUGCGGUGGACUGAG